UACGUAGGGGGCAAGCGUUGUCCGGAUUUAUUGGGCGUAAAGAGCGUGUAGGCGGCUUGACAGGUCUGCUGUGAAAACUCGAGGCUCAACCUCGAGAUGUCGGCGGAAACCGUCUGGCUAGAGUCCGGAAGAGGAGAGUGGAAUUCCUGGUGUAGCGGUGAAAUGCGCAGAUAUCAGGAAGAACACCGAUGGCGAAGGCAGUGUUCUGGGCCAGUACUGACGCUGAGGAGCGAAAGCGUGGGGAGCAAACAGG
This 253-nucleotide ribosomal RNA is filed under the name uncultured bacterium. RNAcentral describes it as "partial 16S ribosomal RNA". It matches the Rfam family "Bacterial small subunit ribosomal RNA", at positions 524 to 776 of the family's 1533-position model. The record is from RNAcentral.